GAUGAGCGCUGGCGGCGUGCUUAACACAUGCAAGUCGAGCGAAGCGCCUUGAAGUUUUCGGACGGAGAGGUGACUGAGCGGCGGACGGGUGAGUAACGCGUGGGUAACCUGCCUCACACAGGGGGAUAACAGUCAGAAAUGACUGCUAAUACCGCAUAAGCGCACAGUACCGCAUGGUACGGUGUAGAAAAACUCCGGUGGUGUGAGAUGGACCCGCGUCUGAUUAGGUAGUUGGUGGGGUAACGGCCUACCAAGCCGACGAUCAGUAGCCGACCUGAGAGGGUGACCGGCCACAUUGGGACUGAGACACGGGCCCAAACUCCUACGGGAGGCAGCAGUGGGGAAUAUUGCACAAUGGGCAAAGCCUGAUGCAGCGACGCCGCGUGA
Molecule: ribosomal RNA, 387 nt
Filed under: uncultured bacterium
Lineage: Bacteria
Description: bacterial SSU rRNA
Rfam family: Bacterial small subunit ribosomal RNA
Source: RNAcentral